RNAcentral lists this ribosomal RNA (1364 nucleotides) under uncultured organism. Its description in RNAcentral is "bacterial SSU rRNA". It matches the Rfam family "Bacterial small subunit ribosomal RNA", at positions 54 to 1387 of the family's 1533-position model. The record is from RNAcentral.
CAUGCAAGUCGAACGCGAAAGCGACUUCGGUCGCGAGUAGAGUGGCGAAAGGGCGAGUAAUACGUGGGUAACCUGCCCCCGAGAUGGGGACACCCGCCGAAAGGCGGGCUAAUACCGAAUACGAUGCGGUGGUCACAAGAUCGCCGCAUGAAAGGCGGGGACCGCUUCGGCGGCCUGUCGCUCGGGGAGGGGCUCACGGCCUAUCAGCUUGUUGGUGAGGUAAUGGCUCACCAAGGCGAUGACGGGUAGCCGACCUGAGAGGGUCACCGGCCGCACUGGGACUGGGACACUGCCCAGACUCCUACGGGAGGCAGCAGAGGAGAAUCAUUCACAAUGGGCGAAAGCCUGAUGAUGCAACGCCGCGUGCGGGAUGAAGGCCUUCGGGUUGUAAACCGCUGUCAGGAGCUAGGAAAGGUCCGGGUGCUAAUAUCACCCGGAAUUGACUGGGCUCCAGAGGAAGCUCCGGCUAACUACGUGCCAGCAGCCGCGGUAAUACGUAGGGAGCAAGCGUUACUCGGAAUUACUGGGCAUAAAGGGGGCGUAGGCGGAUAUGACAGUCCGAUGUGAAAGCCCUCGGCUCAACCGGGGAAUGCCAUCGGAUACUACAUAUCUUGAGUAUGGGAGGGGAGAGUGGAACUCUUGGUGGAGCGGUGAAAUGCGUAGAUAUCAAGAGGAACGCCGGUGGCGAAAGCGACUCUCUGGCCCAUCACUGACGCUGAGGCCCGAAAGCCAGGGUAGCGAACGGGAUUAGAUACCCCGGUAGUCCUGGCCCUAAACGAUGAGCACUAGGUAGAGGUGGCUCCGAUGUUAUCUCUGCUGUAGCUAAUGUGUUAAGUGCUCCGCCUGGGGAGUACGGUCGCAAGGCCGAAACUCAAAGGAAUUGACGGGGGCUCGCACAAGCGGUGGAGGAUGUGGCUCAAUUCGAGGCAACGCGAAGAACCUUACCGGGCCUUGACAUGUUGGUAGUACGAACCUGAAAGGGUAAGGACUCCUUUACGGGAGAGCCAACACAGGUGUUGCAUGGCUGUCGUCAGCUCGUGUCGUGAGAUGUCGGGUUAAGUCCCUUAACGAGCGAAACCCUUGUCGUUAGUUGCCAGCGGGUAAUGCCGGGGACUCUAACGAGACUGCCGGUGUCAAACCGGAGGAAGGUGGGGAUGACGUCAAGUCAUCAUGGCCCUUAUGGCCCGGGCGGCACACGUCCUACAAUGGCCGGUACAGAGGGAGGCAAGACCGUGAGGUGGAGCAAACCCCAAAAAGCCGGUCCCAGUUCGGAUCGCAGGCUGCAACCCGCCUGCGUGAAGUCGGAAUCGCUAGUAAUCGCGUAUCAGCCAUGACGCGGUGAAUAUGUUCCCGAGCCUUGUACA